RNAcentral lists this ribosomal RNA (498 nucleotides) under uncultured bacterium. Its description in RNAcentral is "partial 16S ribosomal RNA". It matches the Rfam family "Bacterial small subunit ribosomal RNA", at positions 28 to 507 of the family's 1533-position model. The record is from RNAcentral.
GACGAACGCUGGCGGCGUGCCUAAUACAUGCAAGUCGAACGAGAGCGACCGGUGCUUGCACUGGUCAAUCUAGUGGCGAACGGGUGAGUAAAACGUGGGUAACCUGCCCAUCAGAGGGGGAUAACAUCCGGAAACGGAUGCUAAAACCGCAUAGGUCUUCGAACCGCAUGGUUUGAAGAGGAAAAGAGGCGCAAGCUUCUGCUGAUGGAUGGACCCGCGGUGCAUUAGCUAGUUGGUGAGGUAACGGCUCACCAAGGCCGUGAUGCAUAGCCGACCUGAGAGGGUGAUCGGCCACAUUGGGACUGAGACACGGCCCAAACUCCUACGGGAGGCAGCAGUAGGGAAUCUUCCGCAAUGGACGCAAGUCUGACGGAGCAACGCCGCGUGAGUGAAGAAGGUUUUCGGAUCGUAAAACUCUGUUGUUAGAGAAGAACAAGUGCUAGAGUAACUGUUAGCGCCUUGACGGUAUCUAACCAGAAAGCCACGGGUAACUACGUG